This 1186-nucleotide ribosomal RNA is filed under the name Vibrio campbellii. RNAcentral's name for it is "bacterial SSU rRNA". It matches the Rfam family "Bacterial small subunit ribosomal RNA", at positions 8 to 1172 of the family's 1533-position model. The record is from RNAcentral. Lineage: Bacteria; Pseudomonadati; Pseudomonadota; Gammaproteobacteria; Vibrionales; Vibrionaceae.
AGAGUUUGAUCCUGGCUCAGAUUGAACGCUGGCGGCAGGCCUAACACAUGCAAGUCGAGCGGAAACGAGUUAUCUGAACCUUCGGGGAACGAUAACGGCGUCGAGCGGCGGACGGGUGAGUAAUGCCUAGGGAAUUGCCCUGAUGUGGGGGAUAACCAUUGGAAACGAUGGCUAAUACCGCAUAAUGCCUACGGGCCAAAGAGGGGGACCUUCGGGCCUCUCGCGUCAGGAUAUGCCUAGGUGGGAUUAGCUAGUUGGUGAGGUAAGGGCUCACCAAGGCGACGAUCCCUAGCUGGUCUGAGAGGAUGAUCAGCCACACUGGAACUGAGACACGGUCCAGACUCCUACGGGAGGCAGCAGUGGGGAAUAUUGCACAAUGGGCGCAAGCCUGAUGCAGCCAUGCCGCGUGUGUGAAGAAGGCCUUCGGGUUGUAAAGCACUUUCAGUCGUGAGGAAGGUAGUGUAGUUAAUAGCUGCAUUAUUUGACGUUAGCGACAGAAGAAGCACCGGCUAACUCCGUGCCAGCAGCCGCGGUAAUACGGAGGGUGCGAGCGUUAAUCGGAAUUACUGGGCGUAAAGCGCAUGCAGGUGGUUUGUUAAGUCAGAUGUGAAAGCCCGGGGCUCAACCUCGGAAUUGCAUUUGAAACUGGCAGACUAGAGUACUGUAGAGGGGGGUAGAAUUUCAGGUGUAGCGGUGAAAUGCGUAGAGAUCUGAAGGAAUACCGGUGGCGAAGGCGGCCCCCUGGACAGAUACUGACACUCAGAUGCGAAAGCGUGGGGAGCAAACAGGAUUAGAUACCCUGGUAGUCCACGCCGUAAACGAUGUCUACUUGGAGGUUGUGGCCUUGAGCCGUGGCUUUCGGAGCUAACGCGUUAAGUAGACCGCCUGGGGAGUACGGUCGCAAGAUUAAAACUCAAAUGAAUUGACGGGGGCCCGCACAAGCGGUGGAGCAUGUGGUUUAAUUCGAUGCAACGCGAAGAACCUUACCUACUCUUGACAUCCAGAGAACUUUCCAGAGAUGGAUUGGUGCCUUCGGGAACUCUGAGACAGGUGCUGCAUGGCUGUCGUCAGCUCGUGUUGUGAAAUGUUGGGUUAAGUCCCGCAACGAGCGCAACCCUUAUCCUUGUUUGCCAGCGAGUAAUGUCGGGAACUCCAGGGGAAAUUGCCGGUGAUAAACCGGAAGGAA